This is a long non-coding RNA of Phacochoerus africanus (Common warthog), 622 nucleotides long. RefSeq lists it as uncharacterized. The transcript is spliced from 2 exons. The record is from RefSeq and is a predicted model, not a curated record. Lineage: Eukaryota; Metazoa; Chordata; Mammalia; Artiodactyla; Suidae.
UUCCUCUCUGAUUUUUCCAGGGAUCCACUGGUUGUUUAGUAGCAUGUCAUGCAGUCUCUACACGUUCAUGGUGGUUUUUUGUGAUUUUUUUCUUGCUCAUUUCUUAUUUUUCAAGUUGAUGUCUAGCUUUAUCGCAUUAGUCAGAAAAGAUGCCUGAUAGGAUUUCAGUUGUCCUAAAUUUACUGACACCUGACCUGUGACCCCAGGGGUGAUGGAUCCUGGAGAAUGUCCAACUUGAGAAGAAGGUGUUUGCUGCUGCUUCCAGGUGGCAUGUUCCUCAGUAUCAGCCGAGGCCAUCUGGUCUCGUGUGUUAUUUCGAGCCUGUGUCUCCGUACUGAGUGCCUGUCUGGACGAUGUGGCCGCUGAUGGAGGACUGCUCUCUUCCGAGACCCUCCACAUUCUGCCUGUGGAACGUGUAGCUGCCGGUAAACCUUUUGCUGUGCUGUGGCCCACACGUGAAUUCUCUCCAAUGCGAAGCCACGGACCCUCACUCGGCAGCCUGGACAGGACCAGCCCCCAGCACCCCCAUUUCCUGCAACAGUCUGACUUAUGUGUGUGCAAAGCUUUGAUGAAAACCAAAUGAGCAAAAAAGAAAACCUCUAUUAAAACUUCAGAAAGGACA